GCAAUAAAAAAGCAGCUGCCGCUCGCGAAUCGGCAGCUCCGCCGCGGGACGUGAGCGGCCGAGCCCGGGCGGGCCCGGGCCCGGAGCGGGGAGUGCCCCCGCCUCUCCCCGCACCCUCAACUCCCGCGCUCCCUGACAGCCAUUUUGGGGGUUAGGCACCUCGCUCCCCCCUACCCCCCGCCUCCGAGCUAGGGAAGCGGGAAGGGGGCCGGGAGCGGGGAAGGAGCGCUGGGAGACGAGAAGAAAGUGGCCCGGAGCAGAGCCCGGGGAACAAAGAACUUCUCGCCCAAGUGGCAAGACCUGGCAGGGAUUUGGUCUGCCAGGGGCACUUCACUGUGCUACUCCUCUCUGGUCGCACUGGUCCCAUUUCCAGCUAUAAACUGACUUGGGGGCAUUGCUGAGCCAACGGGAAGAGCUUUGCUGGGGGUAUGGUCAGGACUGCAGACGGUGAUGACCCAGGCAAUUAAAAUGCAUGGAAGCAGCAUGUAUUUCCUACAAGCAGGAACCACUUUUCUGAGUAUUCUGCCGCAAAACGACCUUGUGCCGCAUGAAGAGGCUGCCGUGGCAUCCAGCUGCUACGAACACAUCGAAAGAGCCCGUUUGUUUAGACACAUACUGGAUAAUUGAUUUCCGCUGUACAUUAAAAAAGCAUUCUUCUGUUUUGUUGGCAACACCAGAUCUUUUUAAUUUAAUUAAUGUUUCAAAAGGUAAACUGAUUCAAUUAGGAUAACUUUUCAAUGGAAAUAGUGAGAUGCAGAAGAAAGUGUUUUUCAAAGCUAGCUGAAGGAUCUUGUGUGACUUCCCCAAGAGAAGAAAGCAGCCUACUUUAAAUCAGCUGAGUUUCAUCAAUAAAAGGAGAAUGGGGCCUAGUGGAAUCACUCUGGAGCUCUGCUGCUUGCAAAAAUACUUUAUUUCCCAUGGUAAUUUUAAAAAACUUUUUGUUUUUAAUAUAAAGACACUU
Molecule: long non-coding RNA, 961 nt
Organism: Aquila chrysaetos chrysaetos
Lineage: Eukaryota; Metazoa; Chordata; Aves; Accipitriformes; Accipitridae
Exons: 3
Source: RefSeq, a predicted model, not a curated record